Molecule: ribosomal RNA, 460 nt
Filed under: uncultured bacterium
Lineage: Bacteria
Description: partial 16S ribosomal RNA
Rfam family: Bacterial small subunit ribosomal RNA
Source: RNAcentral
CCUACGGGAGGCAGCAGUGAGGAAUAUUGGUCAAUGGACGAGAGUCUGAACCAGCCAAGUAGCGUGAAGGAUGACUGCCCUAUGGGUUGUAAACUUCUUUUAUAAAGGAAUAAAACGAGGCACGUGUGCCUUUUUGCAUGUCCUUUAUGAAUAAGGAUCGGCUAACUCCGUGCCAGCAGCCGCGGUAAUACGGAGGAUCCGAGCGUUAUCCGGAUUUAUUGGGUUUAAAGGGAGCGUAGAUGGGUUGUUAAGUCAGUUGUGAAAUCCCUCGGCUUAACUGAGGAACUGCAACCAAAACUAACUUUCUUGAGUGCUGGAGAGGAAAGUUGAAUUCCUAGUGUAGCGGUGAAAUGCGUAGAUAUGAGGAGGAACACCAGUGGCGAAGGCGACUGUCUGUACAGUAACUGACGUUGAGGCGCGAAAGUGUGGGUAGCAGACAGGAUGAGAUACCCCUGUAGGC